RNAcentral lists this long non-coding RNA (352 nucleotides) under Capra hircus (goat). Its description in RNAcentral is "lncRNA (ENSCHIG00000005439.1)". Lineage: Eukaryota; Metazoa; Chordata; Mammalia; Artiodactyla; Bovidae. The record is from RNAcentral.
GAAAUUAUGGGAUUAGGGGAAGAAUUGAAGAAUUAUUUUUUAUGUGAAUCCCCUUUUUAUUUUUUCUCUGACAUGAAUUAUGCCUUUUCUUACAGUUGAAGGAAAGGUGUUUCGAAAAAGGUUGCUAGACAGUGUGAAGAAUCUUAAAAGAGGAAAGAUUGAUAUGAUUAACCUGGACACAUUUUUGGAAAAUAUGGGGAUGGAGCUUUCACAUAAAGAGCUUGAAGAUUUUUCACAAAACCUGCCAGUUGAUGGUGAGCAUUGUAGAUAAAAAUUUAUUCCCUUUAGGACAUAUUGGGUUUGAGAACGUUUGUAAAUUAAUGAUAGUACUUAUUUGGUUUUAACAGAGCAU